AGUGAACGCUGGCGGUAGGCCUAACACAUGCAAGUCGAACGGCAGCACAGUAAGAGCUUGCUCUUACGGGUGGCGAGUGGCGGACGGGUGAGGAAUACAUCGGAAUCUACUUUUUCGUGGGGGAUAACGUAGGGAAACUUACGCUAAUACCGCAUACGACCUACGGGUGAAAGCAGGGGAUCUUCGGACCUUGCGCGAUUGAAUGAGCCGAUGUCGGAUUAGCUAGUUGGCGGGGUAAAGGCCCACCAAGGCGACGAUCCGUAGCUGGUCUGAGAGGAUGAUCAGACACACUGGAACUGAGACACGGUCCAGACUCCUACGGGAGGAAGCAGUGGGGAAUAUUGGACAAUGGGAGCAAGCCUGAUCCAGCAAUACCGCGUGGGUGAAGAAGGCCUUCGGGUUGUAAAGCACUUUUGUUGGGAAAGAAAAGCAGCAGGUUAAUACCCCGCUGUUCUGACGGUACCCAAAGAAUAAGCACCGGCUAACUUCGUG
RNAcentral lists this ribosomal RNA (492 nucleotides) under uncultured bacterium. RNAcentral describes it as "partial 16S ribosomal RNA". It matches the Rfam family "Bacterial small subunit ribosomal RNA", at positions 29 to 507 of the family's 1533-position model. The record is from RNAcentral.